CUGGCCUGUCCCUCACUGCCCUGUCCCCGUGUCCCCAUGGCACUGGGGGACAAGGCCAUGGUGUCCCUGUCCCUUUCCAGGCUGUCCCCUUGGUUCACAGCCCUGUCCCCAUGUCCCCAUCUCUCUCCAGGCUGUCCCCAUCCCUCACAGCCCUGUCCCUGUGACACUGUGUGACAAGGCCAUGGUGUCCCCAUCCCUCUCCAGGCUGUUCCCAUCUCUCCCACUGCCAAGUUCCCAUGUCCCCUCUGAUGUCAGCGUUCCUCCAGGCUGUCCCCACCCCACAUCCCUCUGGUCCCCUAUGUCCCCAUCCCU
Long non-coding RNA from Zonotrichia leucophrys gambelii, 312 nucleotides. RefSeq lists it as uncharacterized. The record is from RefSeq and is a predicted model, not a curated record. The transcript is spliced from 3 exons. NCBI's taxonomy places the organism in Eukaryota, Metazoa, Chordata, Aves, Passeriformes, Passerellidae.